This 423-nucleotide ribosomal RNA is filed under the name uncultured bacterium. Its description in RNAcentral is "bacterial SSU rRNA". It matches the Rfam family "Bacterial small subunit ribosomal RNA", at positions 355 to 775 of the family's 1533-position model. The record is from RNAcentral.
UAAGGAAUAUUGGACAAUGCCCGCAAGGGUGAUCCAGCCAUGCCGCGUGCAGGAAGACGGCCCUAUGGGUUGUAAACUGCUUUUACACCGGAGAAAACCCCACUACGUGUAGUGGGCUGAUAGUAUGGUGAGAAUAAGCAUCGGCUAACUUCGUGCCAGCAGCCGCGGUAAGACGAAGGAUGCAAGCGUUAUCCGGAUUCAUUGGGUUUAAAGGGAGCGUAGGCGGCCUGAUAAGUCAGCGGUGAAAUCUCUGGGCUUAACCCAGAAAUUGCCAUUGAUACUGUUGGGCUUGAGUACAGUUGCUGUGGGCGGAAUAUGACAUGUAGUGGUGAAAUACAUAGAGAUGUCAUAGAACACCGAUUGCGAAGGCAGCUCACAAAACUGUAACUGACGCUGAGGCUCGAAAGUGCGGGGAUCAAACAG